CUGCCUUUACACCUAUUCAAUAUUGCCAACUGCAUUUGACCUCAGAUUAUACUCUGCUUGCCUUUAUUUGCUUGUUGGCUCUUAGUGUUUGUUUGCAUCUUACUGCCCUAGGAAGCAGAUUCUUUUUAAUCUUACUUAUGAGGCUGGCGGUACACCAUUAGUGUCCUUCAAUACCAUAUCUUAUGUUCUUGAUAAAGUCUAGUUUAAGCAACGUAGGCAGAGAUGUCUAGUUAGGCAAUGUUUGAAUGCCUUUGAUUACUCUUGCACACUUCAUAAUCACUAUAUGUUUACUAUCUCAAGCAUGAUGACACCAACGUGACCCACCACAAUAGACAUACAUAGUUAGCCUGUAUUUAGCUUGUCUUAUAAAGUUUAUAAAUUGUGCUU
This is a non-coding RNA of Pelobates cultripes (western spadefoot toad), 387 nucleotides long. The record is from the annotation of a GenBank genome assembly. NCBI's taxonomy places the organism in Eukaryota, Metazoa, Chordata, Amphibia, Anura, Pelobatidae.